This 315-nucleotide ribosomal RNA is filed under the name uncultured eukaryote. RNAcentral describes it as "partial large subunit ribosomal RNA". It matches the Rfam family "Eukaryotic large subunit ribosomal RNA", at positions 40 to 350 of the family's 3401-position model. The record is from RNAcentral.
AUAUUAAUAAGGGGAGGAAAAGAAACUAACAAGGAUUCCCUUAGUAACGGCGAGUGAAGCGGGAAGAGCUCAAUUUGAAAAUCGACUACCCAACGGGUCGUCGAAUUGUAGCCUAUAGACGUACUAUCAGCUAAAACCUGGGUAUAAGUUCUUUGGAAUGAGGCAUCAUAGAGGGUGAGAAUCCCGUAUAUGGCCCAAAGCUUUUAGCGUACGAUGUAUGUUCAUCGAGUCGAGUUGUUUGGGAUUGUAGCUCUAAAUGGGAGGUAAGUAUCUUCUAAAGCUAAAUAAUGGCGAGAGACCGAUAGCGCACAAGUA